GGCGCAGGGCGCCGGUGACACUGGACCCGACGACGACGGCAGGCCGGGCAUGGGUGACGGCACCACCGGGGAGGACGAGCCGCUGGACACCGGCGGCGACGGCCUCGGUCUCGGGUACCCCGGGAACACGGGGUUACGCGGCCUGCUGCCCGGGCGGCCCGGGAACCGGAGCGCGUCGGCGUCUGCCGGGUUGCUCGCCGCCACCGAUGGCUGCACCGACGUGAGCAUGGCCGCGACGGCGAGCAUGGUGGCAAUGCACUUGGCCAUGGAUGCUGCUGUCGCCUCCUUGCUACUGAUGAUGGCUUGCAUUGCUGUGACAGUUCAGAUCAACCACAGGACCGGAGCGAGCAGAUGAAAUGCAGCUAGAAGGUAGCUAGCUAGAGAGGUCUGUGCUAUGCCGGUGCCCAUCCGAUGAUUCACUGCCUCGUCUUUAUAGUUCAACUCGUGUCGCUUGCCAUUUUCUUAUAUGGUUAACACGAAGAACGUGAGAUAUCUCUUUACUCCUCCUGUCUAUAAAGAAAUGUUCAUGUUCCAUAAAGCAGACAUUUUUAUGAAUCUGUCUUUACAGCCAUUUAGUCUGGGAACUGGGGUAGGUGAAAUGCAGAAUGAUGCAGUGUCUGUCAGGACAGCAGUAGUUCCAAAGGCAGAGCAGUGCCCAACAAAUCCGGC
RNAcentral lists this unclassified non-coding RNA (669 nucleotides) under Zea mays. RNAcentral describes it as "misc RNA Zm00001eb406330". Lineage: Eukaryota; Viridiplantae; Streptophyta; Magnoliopsida; Poales; Poaceae. The record is from RNAcentral.